This is a long non-coding RNA of Pseudopipra pipra, 287 nucleotides long. RefSeq lists it as uncharacterized. The record is from RefSeq and is a predicted model, not a curated record. The transcript has 2 exons. NCBI's taxonomy places the organism in Eukaryota, Metazoa, Chordata, Aves, Passeriformes, Pipridae.
AAAAUGACCAGAAACUGACCCAAAUCUGCCCAAAGAAUGACCAGAAACUUACCAAAAAUAACCCCAGAAAAUGACCCAAAACUGACCCAAAUCUCCCCAAAAAAUGACCCAAUCAGCCAAAUCUCCCCAAAAAAUGACCAGAAACUGACCCAAAUCUCCCCCAAAAAUGGGCAGAAAUUCACACAAAUCUCCCCAAAAAAUAACCAGAAACUGACACAAAUCUCCCAAAAAAAUGACCAGAAACUGACCCAAAAUUCUCCCCAAAAAUGACCCAGAACUCACCCAAA